This 523-nucleotide ribosomal RNA is filed under the name uncultured bacterium. RNAcentral's name for it is "bacterial SSU rRNA". It matches the Rfam family "Bacterial small subunit ribosomal RNA", at positions 22 to 518 of the family's 1533-position model. The record is from RNAcentral.
GGUCAGGACGAACGCUGGCGGCGUGCCUAAUACAUGCAAGUCGAACGGUCUUUCUAUGGAAGCUUGCUUCCACUGAGAAGAUAGUGGCGAACGGGUGAGUAACACGUGGGUAACCUGCCCAUAAGAGGGGGAUAACAUCCGGAAACGGGUGCUAAUACCGCAUAGUUUUCUUGAUUGCAUGAUUGAGAAGGAAAGACGGCCUUUGUGCUGUCGCUUAUGGAUGGACCCGCGGCGUAUUAGUUAGUUGGUGAGGUAACGGCUCACCAAGACGAUGAUACGUAGCCGACCUGAGAGGGUGAUCGGCCACAUUGGGACUGAGACACGGCCCAAACUCCUACGGGAGGCAGCAGUAGGGAAUCUUCCGCAAUGGACGAAAGUCUGACGGAGCAACGCCGCGUGAGUGAAGAAAAGGUUUUCGGAUCGUAAAACUCUGUUGUCAGAGAAGAACAAGUUGGAGAGUAACUGCUCCAGCCUUGACGGUAUCUGACCAGAAAGCCACGGCUAACUACGUGCCAGCAGCCGC